AAGUCGUAACAAGGUUUCCGUAGGUGAACCUGCGGAAGGAUCAUUAACGAGGUUUGGGGAUCACCGGGGGCUCGCACGAGGGGGACGUACUCCUUCCGGACCGAACGUAUAUGGAAUCGAACAGGGAUGGCCAGGCAGAACCUGCGUGGAGGUUGCCCGACUGCGAGUUGCCGGUGUUUCGACCCUUUCCAUCCUGUGCCGUCAAACAGAAUACUUCGGUGCUUACCCACCGGGGAAAUUUUCAAAUCGUUGUACGGUGUUAUCUGAGGAGCAGCGAAUGCACAAAA
RNAcentral lists this unclassified non-coding RNA (287 nucleotides) under plant metagenome. RNAcentral's name for it is "partial contains small subunit ribosomal RNA and internal transcribed spacer 1". The stretch from base 1 to 46 matches the Rfam family "Eukaryotic small subunit ribosomal RNA", at positions 1786 to 1831 of the family's 1831-position model. The record is from RNAcentral.